Molecule: long non-coding RNA, 1079 nt
Organism: Bos taurus (domestic cattle)
Lineage: Eukaryota; Metazoa; Chordata; Mammalia; Artiodactyla; Bovidae
Source: Ensembl
GUAAACUGGACAGAGACAUUACUUUGCCAACAAAGGUCCGUCUGGUCAAGGCUAUGGUUUUUCCAGUGGUCAUGUAUGGAUGUGAGAGUUGGACUGUGAAGAAAGCUGAGCACUGAAGAAUUGAUGCUUUUGAACUGUGGUGCUGGAGAAGACUCUUGAGAGUCCCUUGGACUGCAAGGAGAUCCAACGAGUCCAUUCUGAAGGAGAUCAGCCCUGGGAUUUCUUUGGAAGGAAUGAUGCUAAAGCUGAAACUCCAGUACUUUGGCCACCUCAUGCGAAGAGUUGACUCAUUGGAAAAGACUCUGAUGCUGGGAGGGAUUGGGGGCAGGAGGAGAAGGGGAUGGCAGAGGAUGAGAUGGCUGGAUGGCAUCACCGACUCGAUGGACGCAGAGUCUUUACUACUGAGCCGCCAAGGAAGCCUCCACAUAUAAUGUACAACAGGGUUUUUUGUUUUUUUUUUUUUUAAACUCCCACUUUUACCAAGGACCUACCAACGUGGGCCAAGAUCUCACCAAAACCGUGAAGAAGGCAGCCCCUGGUCAUUACCAAGAAGUCUACACCAGCCUGGGCAGCAACUUCCACACCAACAAGCGUGUAGGCCAGGAGAUAGCCCUGAUUCUGGCAGGAAGUUCAGCAACAAGAUCAAAGGUCGUGUUGCACAUCUGAUGAAUCGGAUUCAGAGAGGCCCGGUGAGGGGUGUCUCCAUUCAGCUGCAGGAGAAGGCAGGAGAGGGGAGAGAGAAUUACGUGCCUGAGGUCUCAGCCCUGGACUAGGAAAUCCCUGAAGUAGAUCCUGACUCUAAGAAAACCCUGAAGCUCUUGGAGUUUGGCAGUCUGUCCAAACUGCAGGUCACUCAGCAGGCUACAGUUGGGAUGAAUUUAGAGCUGUUUGAAGUUUUCUGCUGUGCUGAAAUAUUUUCAUUAAACCUCGGACCCAAAAAAAAAAAUUUCCCAAGGGAACACGGGUUCGAUCCCUGGUCUGGGAAGAUUCCACCUGUCUCGGAGCAGCUAAGCACAUGUGCCACAACUACUGAAGCCCGUGCACCCAGAGCCCAUGCUCCGCAACAAGGGAAGCCAUCG